UCAUGCGUUCAUUUGUUCAUCCAUUUCAAAUUCUAGGUCCCAUUUGAUGGCUCAAGGCUUGUUUUCCCACCCGUCGCAGCAGCUGUCUUUGCUCUUUGUUUCUACAGUCUGUUUAGAUGUCUAAUGUCAGCAGGCUAUGCUCAUGCCACUUUCUCUGGAGGACUUCUUGGCUACGUUUUCUACGAUUGUAUACACUACUACCUUCACCAUGGUUCACCAAGACCUGGAGGAUAUUUUCAUAAUUUAAAGAAAUAUCAUGUUCAACACCACUUUGAAGACCAGCAAAAAGGUUUUGGAAUCUCAAGCAAACUGUGGGAUUAUCCCUUCUUGACGUUUCCUGAAAAGGCUAAGUCCAAUUAACUUAAUGAAAUAAUAAUAAUUUAUUUAUUUGCACAAGAACGACAUGCAAUUUUGUCUUGCAGCAAAUAAUUACAUUGUGCACUGCAAUAAUGUACAAGUGAUCACUUAAAAAAACUGGGGAAAUGGGGAAAUUUGAACACCAAAGUAAUUCGGUCAGGAAGCAGCCUUUAAGCACUGUUUUGCUAUAUUUGAUCUAUAUUUCUGUUAAAAAAAUUACUGACCUUUCUUAAAAUAUGUAAUAAUAUUAGGGUAUUUUGUGGUCUAGCAUCCGUAGAAAUCUCACCAUUUUGCCAUUGGAAAAAUAGAUGUUUGUACUGAUUUCAGACCAUAAUAGAAUGUAAUGUGUAAUUCUAUUUUAGGAAAUACAUAUGCAAACUACAUUCAGUUCAUCGUAAGCAUACGUAGAUUAUAGAGCACUGUAGAACUAAUUGGGAUUCCUGUAGUAAAUUAGAACACAGGUAGCCCAUAACACGUUUAUUGGUGCCACGGGAGCAACGUAAUUUAUUAGCACCUGAGCACUAAUUGGGAUUCCUGUGGUACAUUAUAACACAGGUAGCCCAUGGCAUAAUUUCUGAUAAAUGUAGAUAAGAAUAUACUAGAGUGAAAAUACAAACUUUUAAAUUAACGAUGAGGGUAAAAAUAGUACAGAAUAUACGAAACAUUUAACGAGUGAAAUUUCUCUGGUUUUGAGAUUUAACUCACUUGUUAAGAACAUAAUCAAAAUUUGUCAUAAUUAGAAUUUAACUUUUCAAUCUUGCUAAAGCGAACCGUGAGAAAUCUUGUAGGAAUGGAGGAGACGGCAGGGYUAUCAGUUGAAACACACAACAUCCAAACGUGCAAURUGAAUGUUAUACACUUCUAAAUCACCAACAGUUUWAGAUUUUUUUUUGAAUCUAACAAUGUCUAUUUAUCAUGUUGAUAUUCGUAGGGUGACUUUACACGCAUCUGCAUAUUUUCGAAACCGCAUAUCAUAUUUUUUUUAAUUACGUUUACGCAAAAAUGAUCGUUGUCUUAAAAACGCGUGAUUGGUGUUUCUACUUGAAAGGCGUUUUAUCCGCAGAUACGGUCAUCGUUUUACGGUGUUUUCGCGUAAACGUUAAGCCUACAUGUAAAUGCAUAAACGAAAAAAAUUGCGGUUUUGAAAAUUUAUACGAAUACGUCUAACGCUAAAGCAACAGGCCAUUUUCAGAAUGGCAUUAUAGCCACAACUAACKAUAUWUUUGUUUAGUGGUGGUUGUAUUUUUCCUUGUAUGUUUCAAGGAUUAAGUGAAGUCUASAAAAAAGUAGAGUAAAAGUCAUAARAAAUUGAGUAGAAUAAGAAACAAAAUAUAUAAGAUGGUAUAUCCAAUAUGGCGAUUAUCUUGUAUGAAUUCGUAGUGUUUUUAGACUUAAUUGUGGCUAAUAAUUUGUUUUGUUUUAGACUUUGAUAAAUGUAGCUUACUGUUUAAGCUAUUAGCUGUAUUAGGUGUGACAGCAGCUUUCAUUUUAAGCGUCGCCAUGAUAUUUCMUUGUAAAAGCUAAAUUCAAAAAUAUAAGCCAUAUUCAAAGACAAAAACGUUUCAGUUGUGGAAAUUAGUUUUGUACGUGUAAGAAAUUGAAUUAGACACUACUUGUUAUAAUUGAAAAAGUAAAUUAGUAUUUUAAGAUAUCGAAUGAACUAUAUUAUCACUACAUUAUGAAAUAAUGAUACUUAAAAGUUUCUGAUUUACAACAAAAUCGGAAGUGASGGAGUGAUUGAAAAAUGGCGGGAAACCAAAUGGCGAKYGCGCCGAGUUCAAUGGAUGACGUCAUUCAAUAUGGCGGCCAUUUUUGUAUUAGAAUUGAUCUUUUAGGUAUCAGAAUCUUUUUUUCUAAAAAGGUCACUUAAUAUAUUGAGCUACUGAGCGAAUUUCRUGAAUCAAGAGAAAGAAAGAAAACUGUAUUGGAAACAGUUCAAAAAGUGCAACAAGAAAUCAGCUGCUAUGUUUUUGUGAAAUUUUAUUCUUCUGCAUGAUUGAAAAUCGCUCUGCUCUGCUCUGCGUGUUUAGCAAAAAGUUGCACCAUUCAUAAAUAAUAAACGGCAAAGAGAUUAGAAUUUAUUGUCAUUUAGCUAGCUCAGUUUGUUGACUAAAACAAUGGAUACAGUAUGUAGGGCAGCAUAAACCCGUGAAAGUAAAUCUAUAAUAUUCAGAAUACAACAAAUGUAAGUAGAGCAAUGUGAAGCGACGCCRUUUUUUGCAGMAACGCAUGUUGGUAGUUGYAGUCCUCGUAMUUAUUAUAGACACUAAAAUAUCUCCCUAAAAARCGUUUUUACUUUUUUUAUUUUCUUUGCCGAAACRGUAYAACUAAUUCUAUUUUUUCUUAGAAAAAGCAAAAACUUCUUAGGAGGACUCUUGUAGCGGACAUAAAAGAGUACAAGGACUACAACGACCAUCAUGCUUUGCUCUGCAAAAUGGCGUCGCUGCACAUUGCCUAUUAUGCGAACUCGUUUGUCUUUUCUAGUCUAAUYUACRCUUWACUACGCUUUUACUGCAAUAUUUGGUUAGCUCUUUUUCACGCUUUUCGUGUUUGACAYKUUGMGACCACAAGGAAAGCAUUUUUUUAGAAUAAAGAGUCUCUUUCGCGUUCUAACUGUCAUCACUUACAAUACAUCUAAUAAUACUAAUUUAUGGGAACUAAAGCUCAGUGUUCAUGUCAUUUAUCAAAAUGACGAUAUUUAUCUACAAUUCACACGUGUUUUGUCACUAAUAGUAAAUUAUUUAGCACAAAUAUGGACCUAGGGGAAGGCACUUACGAUAUAAUACGAAUAAAUUACGGAAGAGCACAUUCAUGUUAUCCGUGAAAUAAUUUGCAAUUAAUUUUGGCAAAUGAGUCGUAAAAUAGUUUGUUUUGUGUUGUUUAAUUAGACGCAAUUUUUGCGAUUUAGUUACAAAAUGUUUCACUGAUAUAUUGAAUGCACUCUCAAGUAGUCUCAAGUAGUAGAAUAAAAUAGGGAAUGAAUUUUCGCAGGUAUUUUGUAAUAUAGUUAUUUAAGGAAAACCUGGAAUUCGGGGUUAAAAAUAAAUUAUCUGCACGUUAUAUCGUUA
This is a long non-coding RNA of Exaiptasia diaphana, 3425 nucleotides long. RefSeq lists it as uncharacterized. The transcript is spliced from 2 exons. Lineage: Eukaryota; Metazoa; Cnidaria; Anthozoa; Actiniaria; Aiptasiidae. The record is from RefSeq and is a predicted model, not a curated record.